CGGGUGAGUAAUGCCUAGGAAUNUGCCUGGUAGUGGGGGACAACGUUUCGAAAGGAACGCUAAUACCGCAUACGUCCUACGGGAGAAAGCAGGGGACCUUCGGGCCUUGCGCUAUCAGAUGAGCCUAGGUCGGAUUAGCUAGUUGGUGAGGUAAUGGCUCACCAAGGCGACGAUCCGUAACUGGUCUGAGAGGAUGAUCAGUCACACUGGAACUGAGACACGGUCCAGACUCCUACGGGAGGCAGCAGCG
Molecule: ribosomal RNA, 250 nt
Filed under: uncultured Pseudomonas sp.
Lineage: Bacteria; Pseudomonadati; Pseudomonadota; Gammaproteobacteria; Pseudomonadales; Pseudomonadaceae
Description: partial 16S ribosomal RNA
Rfam family: Bacterial small subunit ribosomal RNA
Source: RNAcentral